Small nucleolar RNA from Podarcis muralis (Common wall lizard), 71 nucleotides. Lineage: Eukaryota; Metazoa; Chordata; Lepidosauria; Squamata; Lacertidae. The record is from Ensembl.
CUGGAUGUGAUGAAGAACUUGAAAUUUGAGCUCUGCUGUGAUAGUUCAUAUAUUCGUACUGUCUGACCCAG